Molecule: long non-coding RNA, 520 nt
Organism: Alnus glutinosa
Lineage: Eukaryota; Viridiplantae; Streptophyta; Magnoliopsida; Fagales; Betulaceae
Exons: 2
Source: RefSeq, a predicted model, not a curated record
CUCUUUUUUUCACCCCUUCCAAUCCAAAAACCCUAGGAGAGAGAGAGAGAGAGAAGAACAUGAGGUGGAUAUUUAGGUUUCUCUGAUCAAGGAAGGUGUGAGCCACAUCUGUCCAGCAAAGGGGUUGGACAAGCAGGAAGAAAGACGCUGGUGGGGGGUGAGCCCCAUUCGUCAAUGAUGUAAGAUAUAAAGACAAGCAUGGUAAAAAAAUCCUGAUGGGGGUGAGAACUAUCCGUCCAACAAAAGGGUUUGACUAGCAAGAAGAAAGAUCCUAGUGGGGGUGAGCCACAUCCGUCAAUAUGUUAUAAGAUGAUGUAAAUGAAUGAGUAACUAAAGCAUGCAUAGCAUUGUAUGCUAUGUGAUGAUGUUUUAUGAGGUGAUUUAAGAGGGAUGUCACACUAGAUGUAUCAGUAUGUAUAUGUUUCUGGAUGAGACAUGGAACAUAUGUAUGCCGUUACAACUGGAGUGCAUAUGAUGUGUUAUGGUUUCUUGCUUAGAUAUGCUUAUAUGCUUGUGUUUU